CGCAGUCGUCCAGUGAACGCCCCAUUUCGCCUGUCAGGGUUGGAGCUAUUGGAGCGGCACUAUGGGUUCCGGAUUGCACCUGCUGCCGGGCGCAUACGCACUUCAUGUAGAUGUACAUGCAAGCGAAGACUUCAAGAAAAUAACGCACGUGAACGCGUGUGUGCGCGCAUCCUGACAGCGCGCGUGAAGUUAUUUACGGCUUAUUUAUGUGAUAAAUGUCACACUGUAACCGCAAACUCAUAGCGCGCAGACGAGAACUGAAACUGCUCCCGGUUUAAAGGACCAUCACGGGCAGCUCCUAAGUCAGGUGCUUUCUGGAUCGUGAUGGAGUUAAGUGCGGGAAAGUCACUCAAGAGUGGCGGAGCCUAAGGUGCACCAUUGAAUUUAAGGUUUCCUCCACACUUCCUCUGUCUUCCAUUAUUUGGACAAACUUCAUGGAAAAUUGAAGGCUGCAUUAAUC
Long non-coding RNA from Paramisgurnus dabryanus, 460 nucleotides. RefSeq lists it as uncharacterized. Lineage: Eukaryota; Metazoa; Chordata; Actinopteri; Cypriniformes; Cobitidae. The record is from RefSeq and is a predicted model, not a curated record.